UACGGGGGGGGUAAGCGUUGUUCGGAAUUACUGGGCGUAAAGCGCGCGUAGGCGGCUUUGUAAGUUAGAGGUGAAAGCCCGGGGCUCAACCCCGGAACUGCCUUUAAGACUGCAUCGCUUGAAUCCAGGAGAGGUGAGUGGAAUUCCGAGUGUAGAGGUGAAAUUCGUAGAUAUUCGGAAGAACACCAGUGGCGAAGGCGGCUCACUGGACUGGUAUUGACGCUGAGGUGCGAAAGCGUGGGGAGCAAACAGG
Molecule: ribosomal RNA, 253 nt
Filed under: uncultured bacterium
Lineage: Bacteria
Description: partial 16S ribosomal RNA
Rfam family: Bacterial small subunit ribosomal RNA
Source: RNAcentral